This 24-nucleotide non-coding RNA is filed under the name Cricetulus griseus (Chinese hamster). Lineage: Eukaryota; Metazoa; Chordata; Mammalia; Rodentia; Cricetidae. The record is from RNAcentral.
CAUGUUGUUUGGCUGGGAAUACAA